This 521-nucleotide ribosomal RNA is filed under the name uncultured marine eukaryote. RNAcentral describes it as "SSU rRNA". It matches the Rfam family "Eukaryotic small subunit ribosomal RNA", at positions 610 to 1132 of the family's 1831-position model. The record is from RNAcentral.
UUGUUGUGGUUAAAAAGCUCGUAGUUGGAUCUCGGCGGACUGAGGGCGGUUUGCUUGCUAGUAUUACUGCCCUAUAGUCCGUAGUUUUGCCAGAGGUUUCGGGGUGCUCUUAAUCGAGUGUCCCGGGAUGCUGGCAGGUUUACUUUGAAAAAAUUAGAGUGCUCAAAGCAGGCUAUUACGCCUGAAUAUUCGUGCAUGGAAUAAUAGAAUAGGAAGUCGUUUCUAUUUUGUUGGUUUUCGGAAAUCGACUUAAUGAUUAAUAGGGACAGUCGGGGGCAUUCGUAUUCAAACGACAGAGGUGAAAUUCUUGGACCGUUUGAAGACAAACUACUGCGAAAGCAUUUGCCAAGAAUGUUUUCAUUAAUCAAGAACGAAAGUUAAAGGUUCGAAGGCGAUUAGAUACCGCCCUAGUUUUAACCAUAAACGAUGCCAGCUAGCGAUCUGCGGACGUUUUUUUUGUAGACUCCGCAGGAAGCUUCCGGGAAACCAAAGCAUUUGGGUUCCAGGGGAAGUAUGGUUGC